ACAUAUAAUACAGAACGGAAAAGUAGCUGAAAUUUGAGAAAGUUUUCCAAUUUAAAAGUGAAAAUGUUGUGAAUGAUUCAAAAACUAUCGGAGGAUGCACCGAAGAACAGACCGGAAUGGGUUAUGAAAUCUUAGAGCUAUGUUGAACUGUUUUUAGGUAGAAGUCGGCGUCACUUUUAUGUAUGUCUUUUAUUUAUUUUCAGUGAUCGGAUGGCAGUGCAGUUUUUUCAAAUUUUUUUGUGACCGUUUGCAUAUUUUCUUCGAUAUUAGGAUUAGAAUGGUAUAACGGAAUACAAAUUUCAUGCUGCGCUGAGCUUAAGCUUAUCUUUUUGGAAAGACUAGGCAACAUGCUGACUGGCCAAUGUGAUGACCAUCAGCUACCUUCCGUAUUGCAGCCUUCACAUGUGAACUGAUAAUUACACCGACUCCAAAAUAAAUCCGAACUAAUCUGGAAAAGGUGUCGAAACUGUUCUGAAGAAGUUACCGUAUUACUCCAAAAACUCAUGAAAUUGUUUCGCGCUGUUGCUAAAAUGAAUCAGAUAUAAUUCUGACAAAGUCUAGACACUGCAAUAUUCCAUUCCCGAAAUAAAUAUAUGUACAAUAUGUAUAAACGUUCGAGCAUGGAUCUUGCAUUAAAAUUAGUAAACAUCAAAGAAGUGCCAGGAUUUACUUAAACGAGUAGUGUAUCAAGGCUUGUGCGUAUGGUAGGAUAUCUAGAAACUCCAUAAGAUUUCUUUUCUCUUUUGACGUGAGCGUACAAAUUUUGAAGCUUGAAUGGGAAACUCCUAACAACUCAAAUGGUCACCGCAAUAUUGAUCAAUUCAAUGCUUUAUUCAUAGUAAGAAAACCGUACCUCCUGUUAUUAGCGCUCCCUUCUGGCGAUCAUAAGCUGUUAAUGCUGUUUACAGUUAGGAGCAGAUUUUUCAUUUCUCUCUUCGAUGCAG
Molecule: long non-coding RNA, 944 nt
Organism: Ceratitis capitata (Mediterranean fruit fly)
Lineage: Eukaryota; Metazoa; Arthropoda; Insecta; Diptera; Tephritidae
Exons: 5
Source: RefSeq, a predicted model, not a curated record